Patella vulgata (common limpet) is the source of this 787-nucleotide long non-coding RNA. RefSeq lists it as uncharacterized. Lineage: Eukaryota; Metazoa; Mollusca; Gastropoda; Patellidae. The record is from RefSeq and is a predicted model, not a curated record. The transcript is spliced from 3 exons.
UUAGACUUCCAGUCGCUUAUUUACAAUCAAAUAUUUCUCCUCGGCUUUAUUUAUUGGUUCAAUAUAAAAUUCCUGGUGACAAUUGGGGGGAAUAUAUUUACCCAAUCAUUACUAAAAAUAUGUUGCCUAAGACAAAACAUUUAUACCCACUGGCACAAACUAUAUCCAUUCGGCAAAAUCUUUCAUGCUUUCUACCAGCUGUCAAAUUAUUACAGGAAAAGUCCAGCAAUUGGCACCCAAAAAAGUGAUUUCAAGGAUAUUUGCAAAUUCAAAAUUGGUUGAGGUGUGAUUAGAAUAUUGGCUGUGGGUUUCAGCAUUGACAGCACAGAAUGGCAAAUAUCAAAUUUGCAUCAGGAGCCACCCAACCACGUGUGUGAGUUAAUAAUGGUCAUGGAAGACUUAGUCUAAAAUAUUUUUACUGACUUCAUCAGCUUUACAUCAAUGCAAUCCAUUAAAUAUGCCCUUUCGGGUUUAGUCUCCACCACCAAAAUCUCACCCCCAUUAAAAUUUCAAGUAUACUACCAUACUGCAUGACAACAUAGCUACCCAAUCCCCAUUUCAUCAAUUUUUUGAAAAUCAGGAAAAAGUCAAAGAUUUACCAGUAUAUAAAAAACUUUAGUAUGAAAAUUCAAUGCUUAACUCAUUGCAUAGAGAACAAUCAGUGAGUUUUUGUGGUUUCUGCUUAAAAAUAAAGCUGACUGGAGUUAUUUCCCUUGCCCCAUCCAUCUAAAAAGAAGUUAAGUCUCAGUUAAAACAUUCUGAUAAAAAAAAAGAAGAAAAAAACAAA